This 71-nucleotide transfer RNA is filed under the name Marmota monax (woodchuck). RNAcentral describes it as "tRNA.Undet". The record is from RNAcentral. Lineage: Eukaryota; Metazoa; Chordata; Mammalia; Rodentia; Sciuridae.
GUGGCUGUGGCUCAGUGGUAGAGCUUUUGCCAAGCAUGAGUGAGACACUGGGUUUGAUUCUCAGCACCACA